CCCCUCUCUGGGACGCACCUGGAGAAUUUCCAGGACUCUACCAGUCUCGACCAAAGGAGGGAAAGUCAAGCAGAGGCCUGCCCAUUCCAUUCCUAGCUCGGGCAAUGGCUAGCGAGUGGAAGGCAAUCUGCUACAAGU
Ornithorhynchus anatinus (platypus) is the source of this 138-nucleotide small nucleolar RNA. The record is from RefSeq and is a predicted model, not a curated record. NCBI's taxonomy places the organism in Eukaryota, Metazoa, Chordata, Mammalia, Monotremata, Ornithorhynchidae.